RNAcentral lists this ribosomal RNA (292 nucleotides) under uncultured bacterium. RNAcentral describes it as "partial 16S ribosomal RNA". It matches the Rfam family "Bacterial small subunit ribosomal RNA", at positions 505 to 796 of the family's 1533-position model. The record is from RNAcentral.
GUGUCAGCAGCCGCGGUAAUACGAACUGUGCAAACGUUAUUCGGAAUCACUGGGCUUACAGGGUGCGUAGGCGGUCUGUUAAGUAGGGUGUGAAAGCCCCCGGCUCAACCGGGGAAUUGCGCCCUAAACUGGCGGACUGGAGUGAGAUAGGGGUGUGCGGAACUUCCGGUGGAGCGGUGAAAUGUGUUGAUAUCGGAAGGAACGCCGGUGGCGAAAGCGGCACACUGGAUCUCAACUGACGCUGAGGCACGAAAGCCAGGGGAGCGAACGGGAUUAGAAACCCUUGUAGUCC